Molecule: ribosomal RNA, 561 nt
Filed under: Salmonella enterica subsp. diarizonae
Lineage: Bacteria; Pseudomonadati; Pseudomonadota; Gammaproteobacteria; Enterobacterales; Enterobacteriaceae
Description: partial 23S ribosomal RNA
Rfam family: Bacterial large subunit ribosomal RNA
Source: RNAcentral
AGACCCGAAACCCGGUGAUCUAGCCAUGGGCAGGUUGAAGGUUGGGUAACACUAACUGGAGGACCGAACCGACUAAUGUUGAAAAAUUAGCGGAUGACCUGUGGCUGGGGGUGAAAGGCCAAUCAAACCGGGAGAUAGCUGGUUCUCCCCGAAAGCUAUUUAGGUAGCGCCUCGUGAACUCAUCUCCGGGGGUAGAGCACUGUUUCGGCUAGGGGGCCAUCCCGGCUUACCAACCCGAUGCAAACUGCGAAUACCGGAGAAUGUUAUCACGGGAGACACACGGCGGGUGCUAACGUCCGUCGUGAAGAGGGAAACAACCCAGACCGCCAGCUAAGGUCCCAAAGUCAUGGUUAAGUGGGAAACGAUGUGGGAAGGCCCAGACAGCCAGGAUGUUGGCUUAGAAGCAGCCAUCAUUUAAAGAAAGCGUAAUAGCUCACUGGUCGAGUCGGCCUGCGCGGAAGAUGUAACGGGGCUAAACCAUGCACCGAAGCUGCGGCAGCGACACUUUAGUGUUGUUGGGUAGGGGAGCGUUCUGUAAGCCGUUGAAGGUGUCCUGUGAGG